This 409-nucleotide long non-coding RNA is filed under the name Rattus norvegicus (Norway rat). RNAcentral's name for it is "long non-coding RNA NONRATT026847". The record is from RNAcentral. Lineage: Eukaryota; Metazoa; Chordata; Mammalia; Rodentia; Muridae.
CGCAGGCAAGCAGAGCUGCCUGAAGCCAGCAACAGAGCCUGCUCCACAAAGCUGCCUCUGCAGCCUCCUGGUGGCUCACAGCCCCAUCCAUAGGCUCUCCCGGACAGGUGCUCCCCAGAGAAAUCCAGCAGACACUAGCUGGCCCUCAUGUCAGUCAUACCCAGCUCCAGGCCGGUCUCCACCUUGGCACCUGACAAUGAUUUUAGAGAGAUCCACAACUGGACAGAGCUGCUCCAUCUCUUCAACCAAACCUUUUCUGAUUGCCACAUGGAACUCAAUGAGAACACCAAACAAGUGGUCCUCUUUGUCUUCUACCUGGCCAUCUUUGUGCACUCCAUCAUCAUUACCAAAGAGGGCAGCCUGCCCGCUGCAGCGGAUCUGCACACCCACGCCAUCAGAAACGUGCAGG